UACGGAGGGUGCAAGCGUUAUCCGGAUUUACUGGGUUUAAAGGGUGCGUAGGUGGGUAAGUAAGUCAGUGGUGAAAUCUCCGGGCUUAACCCGGAAACUGCCAUUGAUACUAUUUAUCUUGAAUACUUUGGAGGUAAGCGGAAUAUGUCAUGUAGCGGUGAAAUGCUUAGAUAUGACAUAGAACACCAAUUGCGAAGGCAGCUGGCUACACGAAAAUUGACACUGAUGCACGAAAGCGUGGGGAUCAAACAGG
RNAcentral lists this ribosomal RNA (253 nucleotides) under uncultured bacterium. RNAcentral's name for it is "partial 16S ribosomal RNA". It matches the Rfam family "Bacterial small subunit ribosomal RNA", at positions 524 to 776 of the family's 1533-position model. The record is from RNAcentral.